UACCAGCUCUCCGAGAGUGGUGUGGAUGUUAUAUKGGGCCUAAAGCAUCCGUAGCUGGCUGAGUUWGUCCUUUGUUAAAUCCACCGAAUUAAUCGUUGGAUUGCGGGGGAUACUGCUCGKCUAGGGGACGAGAGAGGCWGACGGUAUUUUCRGGGUAGSGGUGAAAUCCUAUAAUCCYGGGAAGACCACCAGUGGCGAAGGCUGUCUGCUAGAACGCGCCYGACGGUGAGGGAUGAAAGCUGGGGGAGCGAWCCGGAUUAGAUACCCGGGUAGUCCCAGCUGUAAACGAUGCARGYUAGGUGUUUGGGCGSCCWCGUGCCGCUCUAGUGYCGCAGGGAAGCUGUUAAGCYUGCCGCCUGGGRAGUACGAUCGCAAGAUUGAAACUUAA
Molecule: ribosomal RNA, 388 nt
Filed under: uncultured crenarchaeote
Lineage: Archaea; Thermoproteati; Thermoproteota
Description: partial 16S ribosomal RNA
Rfam family: Archaeal small subunit ribosomal RNA
Source: RNAcentral